CACGGGGGGAGCAAGCGUUGUUCGGAAUUACUGGGCGUAAAGCGUGCGCAGGCGGUUUGUAAGCCAGAUGUGAAAUCCCCGGGCUUAACCUGGGAAUGGCAUUUGGGACUGCAAGGCUCGAGUGCGGCAGAGGAGACUGGAAUUCCUGGUGUAGCAGUGAAAUGCGUAGAUAUCAGGAGGAACACCGAUGGCGAAGGCAGGUCUCUGGGCUGACACUGACGCUCAUGCACGAAAGCGUGGGGAGCAAACAGG
Molecule: ribosomal RNA, 252 nt
Filed under: uncultured bacterium
Lineage: Bacteria
Description: partial 16S ribosomal RNA
Rfam family: Bacterial small subunit ribosomal RNA
Source: RNAcentral